GACAGAGGGUGCAAACGUUGUUCGGAAUUACUGGGCAUAAAGCGCGUGUAGGCUGCUUGGAAAGUCGGAUGUGAAAGCCCUGGGCUCAACCUAGGAAGUGCAUUCGAAACUUCUGAGCUGGAGUUCUGGAGAGGAAGGCGGAAUUCUCGGAGUAGAGGUGAAAUUCGUAGAUAUCGAGAGGAACACCGGUGGCGAAGGCGGCCUUCUGGACAGUGACUGACGCUGAGACGCGAAAGCGUGGGGAGCAAACAGG
This 253-nucleotide ribosomal RNA is filed under the name uncultured bacterium. RNAcentral describes it as "partial 16S ribosomal RNA". It matches the Rfam family "Bacterial small subunit ribosomal RNA", at positions 524 to 776 of the family's 1533-position model. The record is from RNAcentral.